Molecule: ribosomal RNA, 433 nt
Filed under: uncultured bacterium
Lineage: Bacteria
Description: partial 16S ribosomal RNA
Rfam family: Bacterial small subunit ribosomal RNA
Source: RNAcentral
AACGAACGCUGGCGGCAUGCCUAACACAUGCAAGUCGAACGAGACCUUCGGGUCUAGUGGCGCACGGGGGCGUAACGCGUGGGAACCUGCCCUUAGGUUCGGAAUACCUCCCCGAAAGGGGUGCUAAUACCGGAUAAUGUCUUCGGACCAAAGAUUUAUCGCCUUUGGAUGGGCCCGCGUUGGAUUAGCUAGUUGGUAGGGUAAAAGCCUACCAAGGCGACGAUCCAUAGCUGGUCUGAGAGGAUGAUCAGCCACACUGGGACUGAGACACGGCCCAGACUCCUACGGGAGGCAGCAGUGGGGAAUAUUGGACAAUGGGGGAAAGCCUGAUCCAGCAAUGCCGCGUGAGUGAUGAAGGCCUUAGGGUUGUAAAGCUCUUUUACCCGGGAUGAUAAUGACAGUACCGGGAGAAUAAGCUCCGGCUAACUCCGUG